Molecule: ribosomal RNA, 496 nt
Filed under: Mopalia acuta
Lineage: Eukaryota; Metazoa; Mollusca; Polyplacophora; Chitonida; Mopaliidae
Description: partial 16S ribosomal RNA
Rfam family: Bacterial large subunit ribosomal RNA
Source: RNAcentral
GAAAUCUACAGAUAAAGAGUCGUGCCUGCCCAGUGAAUUUUUUUAACGGCCGCAGUACCCUGACUGUGCUAAGGUAGCAUAAUCACUUGUUUUUUAAUUGAAAGCUUGUAUGAAUGGCUUGACGCAGGUAAAGCUGUCUCUUUUAUAUUAAAUAGAAAUUAAUUUUUAAGUGCAGAAGCUUAAAUAAAACCAAAAGACGAAAAGACCCUAUCGAGCUUGAAAAUUAUAAUUAAAUUAAAUUUAUAGUAAAAUAAUUUUUAAUUAAUUUUUUUUGUUGGGGCGACAAAAGAACAAAUAAAGCUUCUUUUUAUUUUAUAAAUUUAUAAAUUUAUAGAUCCAUAAAUUAUGACUAAAAGAAAAAGCUACCGUAGGGAUAACAGCGUUAUUUUUUCAAAGAGUUCUUAUCGAAGAAAAAGUUUGCGACCUCGAUGUUGGAUUAAAGUAACUUUUAAGUGCAGAAGCUUAAAUAGUGGGUCUGUUCGACCCUUAAACCUUU